UACGGAGGGUGCAAGCGUUAUCCGGAUUUACUGGGUUUAAAGGGUGCGUAGGUGGGCUAGUAAGUCAGUGGUGAAAUCUCCGGGCUUAACCCGGAAACUGCCAUUGAUACUAUUAGUCUUGAAUGUCGUGGAGGUAAGCGGAAUAUGUCAUGUAGCGGUGAAAUGCUUAGAUAUGACAUAGAACACCCAUUGCGAAGGCAGCUAACUACGCGAUCAUUGACGCUGAUGCACGAAAGCGUGGGGAUCAAACAGG
RNAcentral lists this ribosomal RNA (253 nucleotides) under uncultured bacterium. RNAcentral's name for it is "partial 16S ribosomal RNA". It matches the Rfam family "Bacterial small subunit ribosomal RNA", at positions 524 to 776 of the family's 1533-position model. The record is from RNAcentral.